GGGACGUUGAUCACAACAGGCGACACUCGGCGACGAAUGCGUAUUGCGUAGUGACGAGUGAGCGCUGGUCUCUCGCGUUGUGGGUUUUGGGGUUUUUACGUGCCUCAACGCUGGACAUAAUCGUAAAUUUGUCUGCAGUGUCAUGUUUGAUCAUAGCAAAGUGAUUUCCAGGAUGGUGUAGCAAAUACGGAUUCCCAACAACAACAUAUUACACGUUGAAGCACUUGAGGAAAUUUUUCAACCGAGCUGUGUCGCUAUUUGCGACUUAAACUGCAUCCGAGUCAGAGUGAAGUAUUGCGAUAGAAGGACGUUUGGUUAUAAGGGUCUUAUAACAUCCAUCCCGGAACACCUCAGGUGUAAAAAACACUGAUCUCUGUAUUAAUUCGAUGCGAUAUGGUAUAAACAGCCUUGUCACCCUUGUGACCCUUGUCACAGAUAGAAGUCAUGUUACUUGUGAUCAAUUUGACAAAUUUAACAUGGCCGCUCACCCGAACUUGCGUGUGUAAUAAGUGGUUCAAUGUACCCGAGUGCAGUAAUUUUCUGUGAGGUACUUGUGCUAACGAAAACAAAAAUUGUUUAUGACACACGCAAAAUGUUGUAAUAGCGCUGACUUGUACAUAUUGUAGAAAAAGAGGUGGGGCAGAAUAAAGGACACUUGACAAACGAGUUUUGUAAUAUAUACAGAUCAGAAAGAAAUGCUCGACGACCUUACAGAAUUCUCGGAGGAUGCUUUCGAUUGAUUACUUCGAAAAUUAAUCCGAUUUUCAUCAAUCAAUUGCCAGCAGGAUUUCGACUGAAGUUUACCAACAUCCAUUUGGAACACUCGUCUUUGGAGUUUUACCUAAUUAAUCAUUUCACAGCAAAGAAUUAUAUGGUAUGUUUACAACUGUGUCAUGAAAAUCCGAGACACAACCAAUUUAUAUUUGUAAUAUCGAUCAUAAAUAAAACUGACUAAUCUCGUGAAAAUCA
RNAcentral lists this unclassified non-coding RNA (969 nucleotides) under Neodiprion pinetum (white pine sawfly). RNAcentral's name for it is "tumor necrosis factor alpha-induced protein 8-like protein sigmar". Lineage: Eukaryota; Metazoa; Arthropoda; Insecta; Hymenoptera; Diprionidae. The record is from RNAcentral.